RNAcentral lists this transfer RNA (82 nucleotides) under Biscogniauxia mediterranea. RNAcentral's name for it is "tRNA-Thr". It matches the Rfam family "tRNA". From Rfam's summary of the family: Transfer RNA (tRNA) molecules are approximately 80 nucleotides in length. Their secondary structure includes four short double-helical elements and three loops (D, anti-codon, and T loops). Further hydrogen bonds mediate the characteristic L-shaped molecular structure. tRNAs have two regions of fundamental functional importance: the anti-codon, which is responsible for specific mRNA codon recognition, and the 3' end, to which the tRNAs corresponding amino acid is attached (by aminoacyl-tRNA synthetases). tRNAs cope with the degeneracy of the genetic code in two manners: having more than one tRNA (with a specific anti-codon) for a particular amino acid; and 'wobble' base-pairing, i.e. permitting non-standard base-pairing at the 3rd anti-codon position. The record is from RNAcentral. Lineage: Eukaryota; Fungi; Ascomycota; Sordariomycetes; Xylariales; Xylariaceae.
GCCUCUAUGGCAAAGUGGCUAAUGCGUCGCACUUGUAAUUCAAGUCAUGCGAAGAUCCCUCGUUCGAUUCGGGGUGGAGGCA